RNAcentral lists this ribosomal RNA (2839 nucleotides) under Bacillota bacterium. RNAcentral describes it as "partial 23S ribosomal RNA". It matches the Rfam family "Bacterial large subunit ribosomal RNA". Lineage: Bacteria; Bacillati; Bacillota. The record is from RNAcentral.
AGGUCAAGCUAGAAAGGGCGUACGGUGGAUGCCUAGGCGCUAAGGGCCGACGAAGGACGUGGUAAGCUGCGAAAAGCCACGGGUAGCCGCAAACAGGCAAAGAUCCGUGGAUAUCCGAAUGGGGCAACCCGGUACAGAAAACCUGUACCAUCCUCCACUGAACACAUAGGUGGAGGAAGGGCACCCGGGGAACUGAAACAUCUAAGUACCCGGAGGAAAAGAAAACAAAAGUGAUCCCCCAAGUAGCGGCGAGCGAACAGGGGCCAGCCUAAACCAACCCAGCUUGCUGGAUUGGGGUUGCGGGACUCUCAAAAGGACUACUUGCUUUAGUCGAAGCGGACUGGAACGUCCGGCCACAGAAGGUAACAGCCCUGUAGACAAAAAGGCAAAGCAGCUGUGAGAGCAUCCCAAGUACCGCGGGACACGAGAAACCCUGCGGGAAUCCGGGAGGACCACCUCCCAAGGCUAAAUACCCUUAGCGACCGAUAGCGGAUAGUACCGUGAGGGAAAGGUGAAAAGCACCCCGGGAGGGGAGUGAAAUAGAACCUGAAACCGUAUGCCUACAAACAGUCGAAGUCCUAUUAAUGGAUGACGGCGUACUUUUUGUAGAACGGACCGGCGAGUUACAUCCGGCGGGCAAGGUUAAGGCCUAAAGGGCCGAAGCCGCAGCGAAAGCAAGUCUUAACAGGGCGCAAUAGUCCGUCUGAGUAGACCCGAAACCGGGUGAUCUACCCAUGUCCAGAGUGAAGCGCGAGUAAAAUCGCGUGAAGGCUCGAACCAACCGUCGUUGAAAAGGCGGUGGAUGAGGUGUGGGUAGGGGUGAAAUGCCAAUCGAACCCGGAAAUAGCUGGUUCUCCCCGAAAUAGCUUUAGGGCUAGCCUCAAGGAAUGAUAUUCGGAGGUAGAGCACUGACUGGGCUAGGGGCCUUCACCGGUUACCGAACUCAAUCAAACUCCGAAUGCCGAAUAUUUCACCUUGGGAGUCAGACUGCGAGUGCAAAGAUCCGUAGUCGAAAGGGAAACAGCCCAGACCGCCGGCUAAGGUCCCCAAACUGUGCUAAGUGGUAAAGGAUGUGGGGUUGCACAGACAACCAGGAUGUUGGCUUAGAAGCAGCCACCAUUUUAAGAGUGCGUAAUAGCUCACUGGUCAAGUGACCCUGCGCCGAAAAUGUAACGGGGCUCAAGCACAGUACCGAAGCCGCGGAUUUCUUUUAGAAAUGGUAGGGGAGCGUUCCCAUUGGAUUGAAGCUAUACCGCAAGGAGUAGUGGACUGGUGGGAAGUGAGAAUGCCGGUAUAAGUAAACGAUAAGGCAGGUGAGAAUCCUGCCCGCCGAAAGCCUAAGGAUUCCUGGGGAAGGCUCGUCCGCCCAGGGUAAGCCGGGACCUAAGCCGAGGCCGAAAGGCGUAGGCGAUGGACAAUCGGUUGAUAAUCCGAUGCCACCAACAUACCACUUGAGUGAUGGGGUGACGCAGCAGGGUAGGCCAAGCGCGCGGUUGGAAAAGCGCGUCCAAGCCCGUAGGGCGCCGGAUAGGCAAAUCCGUCCGGCAUAAAAGCCUGAGAGGUAAUGGGGAGGGAAAACAAGUACCGAAGUGGCUGAACCCAAACUGCCAAGAAAAACCUCUAGCGAGGAAUGAUGGUGCCCGUACCGCAAACCGACACAGGUAGGCGGGGUGAGAAUCCUAAGGCGCGCGAGAGAACCCUCGUUAAGGAACUCGGCAAAAUGACCCCGUAACUUCGGGAGAAGGGGUGCCUCAUUAGCGUGAAAUUAUAUACUAAUGGAGCGUGAAGAGGUUGCAGAGAAAAGGCCCAAGCGACUGUUUACCAAAAACACAGGUCCCUGCUAAAUCGGUAAGAUGAAGUAUAGGGGCUGACGCCUGCCCGGUGCCGGAAGGUUAAGGGGAAAUGUUAGCUUAGGCGAAGCAUAGAACCGAAGCCCCGGUAAACGGCGGCCGUAACUAUAACGGUCCUAAGGUAGCGAAAUUCCUUGUCGGGUAAGUUCCGACCCGCACGAAAGGCGUAACGACUUGGGCGCUGUCUCAACGAGGGACUCGGUGAAAUUGUAAUGCCGGUAAAGAUGCCGGCUACCUGCGGUAGGACAGAAAGACCCCGUGGAGCUUUACUGUAGCCUGACAUUGGGUUUUGGUAUUGCAUGUACAGGAUAGGUGGGAGGCAGAGAAACUGUAGCGCAAGCUGUAGUGGAGUCACCCUUGGGAUACCACCCUUGCAGUACCGGAAUUCUAACCGAGAACCGUGAAACCGGUUCCGGGACAGUAUCAGGUGGGCAGUUUGACUGGGGCGGUCGCCUCCCAAAAAGUAACGGAGGCGCCCAAAGGUUCCCUCAGCGCGGUUGGAAAUCGCGCGUAAGAGUGUAAAGGCACAAGGGAGCUUGACAGCGAGACAUACAGGUCGAGCUGGGACGAAAGUCGGGCUUAGUGAUCCGGCGGUGCUGCGUGGAAAGGCCGUCGCUCAACGGAUAAAAGCUACCCCGGGGAUAACAGGCUUAUCUCCCCCAAGAGUCCACAUCGACGGGGAGGUUUGGCACCUCGAUGUCGGCUCAUCGCAUCCUGGGGCUGAAGUAGGUCCCAAGGGUUGGGCUGUUCGCCCAUUAAAGCGGUACGUGAGCUGGGUUCAGAACGUCGUGAGACAGUUCGGUCCCUAUCCACCGCAGGCGCAGGAAACUUGAGAGGAGCUGUCCCUAGUACGAGAGGACCGGGAUGGACAGACCGCUGGUGUACCAGUUGUUCCGCCAGGAGCACAGCUGGGUAUCCAUGUCUGGAUGGGAUAAGCGCUGAAGGCAUCUAAGCGCGAAGCCCACCUCAAGAUAAGGUUUCCCAUCCGG